RNAcentral lists this ribosomal RNA (406 nucleotides) under uncultured bacterium. Its description in RNAcentral is "partial 16S ribosomal RNA". It matches the Rfam family "Bacterial small subunit ribosomal RNA", at positions 30 to 526 of the family's 1533-position model. The record is from RNAcentral.
AUUGAACGCUGGCGGCAGGCCUAACACAUGCAAGUCGAGCGAGCUUCGGACGGGUUCGUACUGUCUUUUAACCUGCCUGAUGUCGUGGGCUAACUCCUGGAAACGGUAUCUAAUACCCCCUCCCAUCCGCUUUGCCCCGCUGUUAUUGGCUAUUAGGUGUGGUAACGGCUCACCUAGGCGACGAUCCCUAGCUGGUCUGAGAGGAUGACCAGCCACACUGGAACUGCGACACGGUACAGACUCCUACGGGAGGCAGAAUGGGGGAAUAUUGCAAAAGGGGCGAAAGCCUGAUGCAGCCAUGCCGCGUGUGUGAAGAAGGCCUUCGGGUUGUAAAGAACUGUCAGCGGGGAGGCGUUAACGGAAGAAGAAGGAACGGCUAACUCCGUGCCAGCAGCCGCGGUAAUAG